UAACAACGGUUUUCAAAAUUC
Molecule: non-coding RNA, 21 nt
Filed under: Caenorhabditis elegans
Lineage: Eukaryota; Metazoa; Nematoda; Chromadorea; Rhabditida; Rhabditidae
Source: RNAcentral